This 227-nucleotide long non-coding RNA is filed under the name Lathyrus oleraceus (garden pea). Its description in RNAcentral is "Pisum sativum (pea) long non-coding RNA (PSAT_LNC017788)". The record is from RNAcentral. Lineage: Eukaryota; Viridiplantae; Streptophyta; Magnoliopsida; Fabales; Fabaceae.
GUUGUUGCUGAUUAUUGUUGUGAUGCUGAUACUGUUGAUUGUUUCUGAAAACAGGUGCUAUGUGAGCCACCUGAAGCUGGUUACCAGCAGGACGCACGGUCUUCCUCCUCACCGAGGGUCUUCUUAUUUUAACAUGGGAGGUCACAGCAUGUGCCUUGCCAUCUUUCUUCUUUCCAAACGUCCCAUACUGUUUGGCAGAAAAUCCUUCUUCUCUGGUUAGGCGCCCU